This 468-nucleotide ribosomal RNA is filed under the name uncultured bacterium. RNAcentral's name for it is "partial 16S ribosomal RNA". It matches the Rfam family "Bacterial small subunit ribosomal RNA", at positions 28 to 507 of the family's 1533-position model. The record is from RNAcentral.
GACGAACGCUGGCGGCGUGCUCAACACAUGCAAGUCGAACGGAAAGGCCCUGCUUUUGUGGGGUGCUCGAGUGGCGAACGGGUGAGUAACACGUGAGUAACCUGCCCUUGACUUUGGGAUAACUUCAGGAAACUGGGGCUAAUACCGGAUAGGAGCUCCUGCUGCAUGGUGGGGGUUGGAAAGUUUCGGCGGUUGGGGAUGGACUCGCGGCUUAUCAGCUUGUUGGUGGGGUAGUGGCUUACCAAGGCUUUGACGGGUAGCCGGCCUGAGAGGGUGACCGGCCACAUUGGGACUGAGAUACGGCCCGGACUCCUACGGGAGGCAGCAGUGGGGAAUAUUGCACAAUGGGCGGAAGCCUGAUGCAGCAACGCCGCGUGCGGGAUGACGGCCUUCGGGUUGUAAGCCGCUUUCGCCUGUGACGAAGCGUGAGUGACGGUAAUGGGUAAAGAAGCACCGGCUAACUACGUG